RNAcentral lists this transfer-messenger RNA (349 nucleotides) under human gut metagenome. It matches the Rfam family "transfer-messenger RNA". From Rfam's summary of the family: Bacterial tmRNA, also known as 10Sa RNA or SsrA, is named for its dual tRNA and mRNA-like properties. Its role is to liberate the mRNA from a stalled ribosome. To accomplish this part of the tmRNA is used as a reading frame that ends in a translation stop signal. The record is from RNAcentral.
GGGGGCGUAAAGGUUUCGACGGGGAUCCGGAAUCAGGUCUAGCGAGCAGAGGCGCCCGUCCUCUCUAAAAUGGGCAAACCUUAAAAUUAACUGACAACUCUAAUUUGUCUUACGCGGCCUAACUAAUGGCUGCCGUCUCCCCCGGGAGGGCCACGGCCCGGGACGAGGCGUGGAUCAGUGGCGUCCGUGCGUGCGGUAAGCUUUGCCCGCACCAUGCAUCAUGAAGCUACCAAAGGCUGAAGACUGACGGCCGCCGUCAGCCCAAGGGAAUGUAAUCGACCGUCUGCGCUCGGAGAAAGACUUGUGGAUGGGUUUUCGGACAGGGGUUCGAUUCCCCUCGCCUCCACCA